CCUACGGGCGUCAGCAGUGGGGAAUAUUGCGCAAUGGGCGAAAGCCUGAUGCAGCGACGCCGCGUGAGGGAUGAAGGUAUUCGGUUCGUAAAGCUCUGUCAGCAGGGAAGAACGGUCACUGUGCUAAUCAGCAGUGAAUUGACGGUACCUGCAAAGGAAGCACCGGCUAACUCCGUGCCAGCAGCCGCGGUAGUACGGAGGGUGCGAGCGUUAAUCGGAUUUACUGGGCGUAAAGCGCGCGUAGGCGGUAUGUCAAGUCAAGGGUGAAAUGCCCGCGCUCAACGUGGGAACUGCCUUUGAAACUGGCAAACUGGAGUGUGUGAGAGGAUAGUGGAAUUCCAGGUGUAGGAGUGAAAUCCGUAGAUAUCAGGAGGAACAUCAGUGGCGAAGGCGACUAUCUGGCACAUAACUGACGCUGAGGAGCGAAAGCGUGGGUAGCAAACAGGAUUAGAUACCCUAGUAGUC
Molecule: ribosomal RNA, 465 nt
Filed under: uncultured bacterium
Lineage: Bacteria
Description: partial 16S ribosomal RNA
Rfam family: Bacterial small subunit ribosomal RNA
Source: RNAcentral